RNAcentral lists this transfer RNA (76 nucleotides) under Deltaproteobacteria bacterium. RNAcentral describes it as "tRNA-Phe". It matches the Rfam family "tRNA". Rfam says of the family: Transfer RNA (tRNA) molecules are approximately 80 nucleotides in length. Their secondary structure includes four short double-helical elements and three loops (D, anti-codon, and T loops). Further hydrogen bonds mediate the characteristic L-shaped molecular structure. tRNAs have two regions of fundamental functional importance: the anti-codon, which is responsible for specific mRNA codon recognition, and the 3' end, to which the tRNAs corresponding amino acid is attached (by aminoacyl-tRNA synthetases). tRNAs cope with the degeneracy of the genetic code in two manners: having more than one tRNA (with a specific anti-codon) for a particular amino acid; and 'wobble' base-pairing, i.e. permitting non-standard base-pairing at the 3rd anti-codon position. Lineage: Bacteria; Pseudomonadati; Myxococcota; Myxococcia. The record is from RNAcentral. RNAcentral also lists the same sequence under 2 other names.
GGCCCUUUAGCUCAGUUGGUAGAGCAGAGGACUGAAAAUCCUCGUGUCCCCAGUUCAACUCUGGGAGGGGCCACCA